This 407-nucleotide ribosomal RNA is filed under the name uncultured bacterium. RNAcentral describes it as "partial 16S ribosomal RNA". It matches the Rfam family "Bacterial small subunit ribosomal RNA", at positions 28 to 526 of the family's 1533-position model. The record is from RNAcentral.
GACGAACGCUGGCGGCGUGCUUAACACAUGCAAGUCGAACGAAGUGGCGAACGGGUGAGUAAUGCCUAGGAAUAUGCCUGGUAGUGGGGGAUAACGUCCGGACACGGGCUCUAAUAGCGCAUACUAUCAGAUGAGCCUAGGUUGGAUUAUCGAGUUGGUGGGGUAAAGGCCUACCAAGGCGACGAUCCGUAACUGAUCUUAGAGGAUGAUAAGUCACACUGGAACGGAGACACGGUCCAGACUCCUACGGGAGGCAGCAGUGGGGAAUAGUGGACAAUGGGCGAAAGCCUGAUCCAGCCAUGCCGCGUGUGUGAAGAAGGUCGUCGGAUUGUAAAGCACUUUAAGUUGGGAGGCGUUACCAACAGAAUAAGCACCGGCUAACUUCGUGCCAGCCGCCGCGGUAAUAC